UACAAAAACCCUAAGGACAAUGGAACAUUCAAGAAGACCAUCUUGAGAGUGUCUUGCUAAGAAAAAGAGAUGUUAGACUAUCUUGAGAGUGUUCUUGCAUCUGAGCAUGUUGUUGUGAAGAGUGGGCAGUUCAUUGUUGAAGUUAAGCCUCAGGUACAAACUGCAAGACCCAAUGAAUAUAGUAGGAGAUAUCUAUGCUACUGUUAUGUUCCUUGGCGGAACAAACAGAUUCUACUGUAUUUUCAAAGAGGAGGAUGCUAGUAUUGCCAAAAUCAAUAA
Molecule: long non-coding RNA, 279 nt
Organism: Solanum pennellii
Lineage: Eukaryota; Viridiplantae; Streptophyta; Magnoliopsida; Solanales; Solanaceae
Exons: 2
Source: RefSeq, a predicted model, not a curated record